UACGAAGGGGGCUAGCGUUGCUCGGAAUUACUGGGCGUAAAGCGCACGUAGGCGGCUUUCUAAGUCGGGGGUGAAAUCCUGGAGCUCAACUCCAGAACUGCCUUCGAUACUGGAGAGCUUGAGUCCGGGAGAGGUGAGUGGAACUGCGAGUGUAGAGGUGGAAUGCGCAGAUAUCAGGAAGAACACCCGUGGCGAAAGCGGCUCUCUGGAACGGUACUGACGCUGAGACGCGAAAGCGUGGGGAGCGAACAGG
Molecule: ribosomal RNA, 253 nt
Filed under: uncultured bacterium
Lineage: Bacteria
Description: partial 16S ribosomal RNA
Rfam family: Bacterial small subunit ribosomal RNA
Source: RNAcentral